RNAcentral lists this ribosomal RNA (450 nucleotides) under uncultured bacterium. Its description in RNAcentral is "bacterial SSU rRNA". It matches the Rfam family "Bacterial small subunit ribosomal RNA", at positions 354 to 796 of the family's 1533-position model. The record is from RNAcentral.
GUGGGGAAUUUUGGACAAUGGGCGCAAGCCUGAUCCAGCAAUGCCGCGUGUAGGAAGAAGGCCUUCGGGUUGUAAACUGCUUUUGUACGGAACGAAACGGUCCGGGUUAAUACCCUGGGCUAAUGACGGUACCGUAAGAAUAAGCACCGGCUAACUACGUGCCAGCAGCCGCGGUAAUACGUAGGGUGCAAGCGUUAAUCGGAAUUACUGGGCGUAAAGCGUGCGCAGGCGGUUUUGUAAGACAGGCGUGAAAUCCCCGGGCUCAACCUGGGAAUUGCGCUUGUGACUGCAAGGCUGGAGUGCGGCAGAGGGGGAUGGAAUUCCGCGUGUAGCAGUGAAAUGCGUAGAUAUGCGGAGGAACACCGAUGGCGAAGGCAAUCCCCUGGGCCUGCACUGACGCUCAUGCACGAAAGCGUGGGGAGCAAACAGGAUUAGAAACCCGGGUAGUCC